GAUGAACGCUGGCGGCGUGCCUAAUACAUGCAAGUCGAGCGAACAGACGAGGAGCUUGCUCCUCUGACGUUAGCGGCGGACGGGUGAGUAACACGUGGAUAACCUACCUAUAAGACUGGGAUAACUUCGGGAAACCGGAGCUAAUACCGGAUAAUAUAUUGAACCGCAUGGUUCAAUAGUGAAAGACGGUUUUGCUGUCACUUAUAGAUGGAUCCGCGCCGCAUUAGCUAGUUGGUAAGGUAACGGCUUACCAAGGCGACGAUGCGUAGCCGACCUGAGAGGGGGAUGGGCAAAAAGGGAAAUGAGACAGGGGCAAGACGCAAACGGGAGGAAGCAGAGGGGAAUAUGCAGAAAUGGGCGAAAGCCUGAAGGACAAAGGCAGCGGGAGAGAGAAAGGGCUUGGGAAAUAAAAAAUUGUUUAAAGGGAAAAAAAAAAGGAGAAAGGAAAAAGGAAGUGCUAGAGGGUACCGAAUAAGAAAGCCAGGACAAACUAGGGC
Molecule: ribosomal RNA, 497 nt
Filed under: uncultured bacterium
Lineage: Bacteria
Description: partial 16S ribosomal RNA
Rfam family: Bacterial small subunit ribosomal RNA (bases 18-376)
Source: RNAcentral